CUGGGAUACAUGAGAUGCCCUCUCUGAAUAGAGCUGGAGUAGGGAGGGGAAGCAGGUUCUCUGUCAACUCCUUAGUCUCUCUGUCUUUUGCAGGCAUCUCCACGCUGAAGAAAUACUGUGAAGGUGUGAUCCAUCCCAUCUGCAUACACAAAUAUGAAGUUCUUGUGGAUAAUCCCAUUUUUCCUGCUGCAAGCUGAGGCAGAGCACAAGUACCUCCCAACCACCCUGGCCAGCACACACAUGGAUGAGCACACAGCAGGCAACAUUACCCUUCCACUGGGCUUGGAACUGGAAGAGCUGGAGGAGCUGCUCUGGUUCUUCCGCAGAGAAGACCCCUCAACAUGGAAUUACUCUGUUCUUGCGCUGUCCCUCGCGACCAUGAUUUUGGGUCUCGUUCUUCUGACCAUUAACAUUGUGCGAAACAGGUGAGACGGGAAAAUUUGACAAUCUUUUGGUGUGUGGUGGUGCCCUGAAAGCCUCCCGGGCAAACAGCCACAGGGGUUUGGCAGGGCAGGACAAGCCCUGAGUGAUGGGGAGAAGAGCAAACUCCUUUUGAACCAUUUGCUCAAUUUGUGUCACUUGGAACAAGCCCCU
Molecule: long non-coding RNA, 594 nt
Filed under: Junco hyemalis (dark-eyed junco)
Lineage: Eukaryota; Metazoa; Chordata; Aves; Passeriformes; Passerellidae
Description: lncRNA (ENSJHYG00000013432.1)
Source: RNAcentral